This 319-nucleotide unclassified non-coding RNA is filed under the name uncultured Ascomycota. RNAcentral describes it as "sequence contains ITS1". The stretch from base 1 to 106 matches the Rfam family "5.8S ribosomal RNA", at positions 49 to 154 of the family's 154-position model. Lineage: Eukaryota; Fungi; Ascomycota. The record is from RNAcentral.
UGAAAUGCGAUAAGUAAUGUGAAUUGCAGAAUCUCGUGAAUCAUUGAAUCUUUGAACGCACAUUGCGCCCUAUGGUAUUCCGUAGGGCAUGCCUGUCUGAGCGUCAGCUUGUCUUCUCAAACAACUUUGUUUGGAUAACAUUAAGGAAGCAUGUAUUUCAUUGCAUGCCCCUUAGAAAUUCAUAGGCGGUACGGUUCUAGCAAACCAGACGUAAUAAUAAAAUAUCUCGUCUAAUGUUAAGUUCUGUUGCUUGCCUCUUUAAUCCACAAUCUUUUUUUAAGAUGACCUCAGAUCAGGUAGGGAUACCCGCUGAACUUAA